This is a non-coding RNA of Cinara cedri, 578 nucleotides long. The record is from the annotation of a GenBank genome assembly. Lineage: Eukaryota; Metazoa; Arthropoda; Insecta; Hemiptera; Aphididae.
AGACAUUUUAAUUGUUACAUUUCCAGUUUUAAUACAGAAAAAAAAACAGCGCUUAUCAGUCUACAAUAUUUUUACCUGAAUAUUUAGUACCCUACCACCGACAAAAGAGUAACAUGUUAAUUUCGAGUACUAGUACAGACAGUACAGUACCUACAAGCUACUAUUGAGCUAAAGUAGUCCGUAGCUCCAGUUUAGCUGUUCAGCAAAUUAGACAGCCCUAAAAAAAAUUAUAAACGUAGAUGAAGAUGAAUCAAAGAAUAACAAACAAAAACCACUAUCCAUCAUUUAAUGUGUUUUUCAACAACCAACAAUUAAUCUAGGUAGGUUUACCUACAUACAAUAUCAAAAUAUAUCCUUUAAUACAUAUUAUGCCUACCUACCUAUAAUAAAUGUGCAUAGUACUAGUACAUGCGUUUAAUCAUACUUAGAAUAUGUAUUUUAUUUUAUUACCUUUUUAAUUUUUCAAUUUAAGUAAUUUAACCUAUUUAAUUCAAUCAAAAUUAUUAAACUUGAUGUUUAUACAAAUUUAAGACGUGUUAUUUUAAAUAAAAAAUAUUUAUAAUUUAAACAUCAUAAGA